GACGGGGGAUGCAAGCGUUAUCCGGAAUCACUGGGCGUAAAGCGUCUGUAGGUGGUGAUGCAAGUCACUGGUGCAAAACUCUGACUCAACCGGAGGAAAGCCAGUGAAACUGCAUGACUAGAGUGUGGGAGAGGUAGAAGGAAUUCCCUGAGUAGAGGUGAAAUGCGUAGAUACAGGGAAGAACACCGGAGGCGAAAGCGUUCUACUGGAACACAACUGACGCUGAGAGGCGAAAGCUAGGGGUGCGAAUGGG
This 253-nucleotide ribosomal RNA is filed under the name uncultured bacterium. Its description in RNAcentral is "partial 16S ribosomal RNA". It matches the Rfam family "Bacterial small subunit ribosomal RNA", at positions 524 to 776 of the family's 1533-position model. The record is from RNAcentral.